RNAcentral lists this ribosomal RNA (269 nucleotides) under uncultured bacterium. RNAcentral's name for it is "partial 16S ribosomal RNA". It matches the Rfam family "Bacterial small subunit ribosomal RNA", at positions 524 to 795 of the family's 1533-position model. The record is from RNAcentral.
UACAGAGGUCCCAAGCGUUGUUCGGAUUCACUGGGCGUAAAGGGUGCGUAGGUGGCCAGGUAAGUUCGGUGUGAAAGCUCGGAGCUUAACUCCGAAAUGGCAUUGAAUACUAUCUGGCUAGAGGGUCGGAGGGGAGACUGGAAUUCUCGGUGUAGCAGUGAAAUGCGUAGAUAUCGAGAGGAACACCAGUGGCGAAGGCGAGUCUCUGGACGACACCUGACACUGAGGCACGAAAGCCAGGGGAGCAAACAGGAUUAGAACCGCCAGUC